GACGAACGCUGGCGGCGUGCUUAACACAUGCAAGUCGAACGGAAAGGUCCUGCUCUUGCGGGGUGCUCGAGUGGCGAAGGGGUGAGUAACACGUGAGUAUCCUGCACCUGACUUUGGGAUAACUUCUGGAAACUGGGGCUCUUACCGGAUAGGAGCUCCUGCUGCAUGGUGGGGGUUGGUAAGUGUCGGCGGUUGGGGCUGGACUCGCGGCUUAUCAGCUUGUUGUGGGGGUAGUGGAUUAUCAAGGCUAUGACGGGUAGCCCGCCUGAGAGGGUGACUGGCCGCCCUGGAAGUGAGACACGGUCCAGAGGCCUAGGGGAGGGAGCAGUAGGGAAGCGGCCGCAAUGGGCGAAAGACUGACGGAGAGAGGCGGAGUGAUUGAUGAAGGUCUCCGGAUCGUAAAAGGCUGUUAUUGGGGAAGAACCAAUGUGCAAGUAACUAGGCACGUCUUGACGGUAAAUGAUCAGAAAGCCACGGCUAACUACGUG
Molecule: ribosomal RNA, 488 nt
Filed under: uncultured bacterium
Lineage: Bacteria
Description: partial 16S ribosomal RNA
Rfam family: Bacterial small subunit ribosomal RNA
Source: RNAcentral